This is a non-coding RNA of Schizosaccharomyces pombe (fission yeast), 335 nucleotides long. Lineage: Eukaryota; Fungi; Ascomycota; Schizosaccharomycetes; Schizosaccharomycetales; Schizosaccharomycetaceae. The record is from the annotation of a GenBank genome assembly.
AAUCGGUAAUAUUCAAAUAAGUUAAAUAAUCAGUUCAUGGUAGUAUUCUGCUGCCAAAGAGAGAUAAUUGUAAAAUCGCUAGCAGUUGAUAAAAUAAAGUAUAAAUUGAAAUUAAAAUGGAAUUGUUUGUACUGAAUUAAAAAGCUUUACCAUCAUUACUUCAAUUGCCGUUAACUCAGAGACUAGCAUAGAGUUUAUCUAUAGAGACUCUUUGAUUGAUUUAAUAAAAAGCCUUUGAUCGACGAUGGUUCAUUCGCCAAGUUUCAUUGAUGAGUAACAGUUGACUGAGAAUAUUUCACCUAACCCAUUCUUGAUAAAAGUAUAAAUUGGAAGUG